GACGAACGCUGGCGGCGUGCUUAACACAUGCAAGUCGAACGGAAAGGCCUGCUUUCCCUUGUGGAUUGCGGGUACUCGAGUAGCGAACGGGUGAGUAACACGUGAGUGAUCUGCCCCCAACUUGGGUAUAAGCCUGGGAAACUGGGUCUAAUUCCCGAUAGGACUGCAGGGUGGUGCCUGUGGUGGAAAACGAUUUUCUAGUGGUUGGGGAUGAGCUCGCGGCCUAUCAGCUUGUUGGUGGGGUAAUGGCCUACCAAGGCGGCGACGGGUAGCCGGCCUGAGAGGGUGGACGGCCACAUUGGGACUGAGAUACGGCCCAGACUCAUACGGGAGGCAGCAGUGGGGAAUAGUGCACAAUGGGCGGAAGCCUGAUGCAGCGACGCCGCGUGGGGGAUGACGGCAUUCGGGUUGUAAACUCCUUUCGACCGCGAGGAAGCCACCUGGUUGGAAGGGUGGUGACGGUAGUGGUAGAAGAAGCACCGGCUAACUACGUG
Molecule: ribosomal RNA, 494 nt
Filed under: uncultured bacterium
Lineage: Bacteria
Description: partial 16S ribosomal RNA
Rfam family: Bacterial small subunit ribosomal RNA
Source: RNAcentral